CUUUGGCAUGGAAGUACCUUAGGGCCAUAGGAAACAUUUUAUCCAAAGAGACAAGUUAUAGCCAUUUUAAAAAUGGGGUGAUCUAACUUGUCUCUUUAGAUAAAAUGUUUCCUAUGGCCCUAAGGUACUUCCAUGCCAAAG
Non-coding RNA from Xyrichtys novacula (pearly razorfish), 141 nucleotides. NCBI's taxonomy places the organism in Eukaryota, Metazoa, Chordata, Actinopteri, Labriformes, Labridae. The record is from the annotation of a GenBank genome assembly.